GACGAACGCUGGCGGCGUGCUUAACACAUGCAAGUCGAACGGAAAGGCCCUGCUUUUGUGGGGUGCUCGAGUGGCGAACGGGUGAGUAACACGUGAGUAACCUGCCCUUGACUUUGGGAUAACUUCAGGAAACUGGGGCUAAUACCGGAUAGGAGCUCCUGCUGCAUGGUGGGGGUGGGAAAGUUUCGGCGGUUGGGGAUGGACUCGCGGCUUAUCAGCUUGUUGGUGGGGUAGUGGCUUACCAAGGCUUUGACGGGUAGCCGGCCUGAGAGGGUGACCGGCCACAUUGGGACUGAGAUACGGCCCAGACUCCUACGGGAGGCAGCAGUGGGGAAUAUUGCACAAUUGGCGGAAGCCUGAUGCAGCAACGCCGCGUGCGGGAUGACGGCCUUCGGGUUGUAAACCGCUUUCGCCUGUGACGAAGCGUGAGUGACGGUAAUGGGUAAAGAAGCACCGGCUAACUACGUG
RNAcentral lists this ribosomal RNA (468 nucleotides) under uncultured bacterium. RNAcentral's name for it is "partial 16S ribosomal RNA". It matches the Rfam family "Bacterial small subunit ribosomal RNA", at positions 28 to 507 of the family's 1533-position model. The record is from RNAcentral.